GACGAACGCUGGCGGCGUGCCUAAUACAUGCAAGUCGAACGCUUCUUUCCUCCCGAGUGCUUGCACUCAAUUGGAAAGAGGAGUGGCGGACGGGUGAGUAACACGUGGGUAACCUACCCAUCAGAGGGGGAUAACACUUGGAAACAGGUGCUAAUACCGCAUAACAGUUUAUGCCGCAUGGCAUAAGAGUGAAAGUCGCUUUCGGUUGUCGCUGAUGGAUGGACCCGCGGUGCAUUAGCUAGUUGGUGAGGUAACGGCUCACCAAGGCCACGAUGCAUAGCCGACCUGAGAGGGUGAUCGGCCACACUGGGACUGAGACACGGCCCAGACUCCUACGGGAGGCAGCAGUAGGGAAUCUUCGGCAAUGGACGAAAGUCUGACCGAGCAACGCCGCGUGAGUGAAGAAGGUUUUCGGAUCGUAAAACUCUGUUGUUAGAGAAGAACAAGGACGUUAGUAACUGAACGUCCCCUGACGGUAUCUAACCAGAAAGCCACGGCUAACUACGUG
Molecule: ribosomal RNA, 508 nt
Filed under: uncultured bacterium
Lineage: Bacteria
Description: partial 16S ribosomal RNA
Rfam family: Bacterial small subunit ribosomal RNA
Source: RNAcentral